UUAAAAAGAAGAACGGAAAUGACACAGAAGACAGAGAUGGUAAUGAUCGAAAUGGCUUGCAUAAGAUUUCCAGUCAAGAAAAGAUAUUGUUCCCAGAAUGUGAAUGCGAUUCCUUGUGGGAAAUUUGGAAGUCCUUGAUCGGUAAAUCGU
This is a non-coding RNA of Caenorhabditis elegans, 150 nucleotides long. Lineage: Eukaryota; Metazoa; Nematoda; Chromadorea; Rhabditida; Rhabditidae. The record is from Ensembl.